Molecule: ribosomal RNA, 1444 nt
Filed under: uncultured Ralstonia sp.
Lineage: Bacteria; Pseudomonadati; Pseudomonadota; Betaproteobacteria; Burkholderiales; Burkholderiaceae
Description: bacterial SSU rRNA
Rfam family: Bacterial small subunit ribosomal RNA
Source: RNAcentral
AGUCGAACGGCAGCAUGAUCUAGCUUGCUAGAUUGAUGGCGUGUGGCGAACGGGUGAGUAAUACAUCGGAACGUGCCCUGUAGUGGGGGAUAACUAGUCGAAAGAUUAGCUAAUACCGCAUACGACCUGAGGGUGAAAGUGGGGGACCGCAAGGCCUCAUGCUAUAGGAGCGGCCGAUGUCUGAUUAGCUAGUUGGUGAGGUAAAGGCUCACCAAGGCGACGAUCAGUAGCUGGUCUGAGAGGACGAUCAGCCACACUGGGACUGAGACACGGCCCAGACUCCUACGGGAGGCAGCAGUGGGGAAUUUUGGACAAUGGGGGCAACCCUGAUCCAGCAAUGCCGCGUGUGUGAAGAAGGCCUUCGGGUUGUAAAGCACUUUUGUCCGGAAAGAAAUCGCACUUACUAAUAUUAGGUGUGGAUGACGGUACCGGAAGAAUAAGGACCGGCUAACUACGUGCCAGCAGCCGCGGUAAUACGUAGGGUCCAAGCGUUAAUCGGAAUUACUGGGCGUAAAGCGUGCGCAGGCGGUUGUGCAAGACCGAUGUGAAAUCCCCGGGCUUAACCUGGGAAUUGCAUUGGUGACUGCACGGCUAGAGUGUGUCAGAGGGGGGUAGAAUUCCACGUGUAGCAGUGAAAUGCGUAGAGAUGUGGAGGAAUACCGAUGGCGAAGCAGCCCCCUGGGAUAACACUGACGCUCAUGCACGAAAGCGUGGGGAGCAAACAGGAUUAGAUACCNUGGUAGUCCACGCCCUAAACGAUGUCAACUAGUUGUUGGGGAUUCAUUUCCUUAGUAACGUAGCUAACGCGUGAAGUUGACCGCCUGGGGAGUACGGUCGCAAGAUUAAAACUCAAAGGAAUUGACGGGGACCCGCACAAGCGGUGGAUGAUGUGGAUUAAUUCGAUGCAACGCGAAAAACCUUACCUACCCUUGACAUGCCACUAACGAAGCAGAGAUGCAUUAGGUGCUCGAAAGAGAAAGUGGACACAGGUGCUGCAUGGCUGUCGUCAGCUCGUGUCGUGAGAUGUUGGGUUAAGUCCCGCAACGAGCGCAACCCUUGUCUCUAGUUGCUACGAAAGGGCACUCUAGAGAGACUGCCGGUGACAAACCGGAGGAAGGUGGGGAUGACGUCAAGUCCUCAUGGCCCUUAUGGGUAGGGCUUCACACGUCAUACAAUGGUGCAUACAGAGGGUUGCCAAGCCGCGAGGUGGAGCUAAUCCCAGAAAAUGCAUCGUAGUCCGGAUCGUAGUCUGCAACUCGACUACGUGAAGCUGGAAUCGCUAGUAAUCGCGGAUCAGCAUGCCGCGGUGAAUACGUUCCCGGGUCUUGUACACACCGCCCGUCACACCAUGGGAGUGGGUUUUGCCAGAAGUAGUUAGCCUAACCGCAAGGGGGGCGAUUACCACGGCAGGGUUCAUGACUGGGGUGAAGUCGUAACAAGGUAU